GGCUCCAUAGCUCAGCUGGUUAGAGCGCCAGUCUCGUAAACUGGAUGUCGCGAGUUCGAUUCUCGCUGGAGCCU
Molecule: non-coding RNA, 74 nt
Organism: Trichuris suis (pig whipworm)
Lineage: Eukaryota; Metazoa; Nematoda; Enoplea; Trichinellida; Trichuridae
Source: Rfam